RNAcentral lists this ribosomal RNA (468 nucleotides) under uncultured bacterium. RNAcentral describes it as "partial 16S ribosomal RNA". It matches the Rfam family "Bacterial small subunit ribosomal RNA", at positions 28 to 507 of the family's 1533-position model. The record is from RNAcentral.
GACGAACGCUGGCGGCGUGCUUAACACAUGCAAGUCGAACGGAAAGGCCCUGCUUUUGUGGGGUGCUCGAGUGGCGAACGGGUGAGUAACACGUGAGUAACCUGCCCUUGACUUUGGGAUAACUUCAGGAAACUGGGGCUAAUACCGGAUAGGAGCUCCUGCUGCAUGGUGGGGGUUGGAAAGUUUCGGCGGUUGGGGAUGGACUCGCGGCUUAUCAGCUUGUUGGUGGGGUAGUGGCUUACCAAGGCUUUGACGGGUAGCCGGCCUGAGAGGGUGACCGGCCACAUUGGGCCUGAGAUACGGCCCAGACUCCUACGGGAGGCAGCGGUGGGGAAUAUUGCACAAUGGGCGGAAGCCUGAUGCAGCAACGCCGCGUGCGGGAUGACGGCCUUCGGGUUGUAAACCGCUUUCGCCUGUGACGAAGCGUGAGUGACGGUAAUGGGUAAAGAAGCACCGGCUAACUACGUG